UUGGAGGGCAAGUCUGGUGCCAGCAGCCGCGGUAAUUCCAGCUCCAAUAGCGUAUAUUAAAGUUGUUGCAGUUAAAAAGCUCGUAGUUGAAUUUCGGGAUCAAUAUACCGGUCGUGCCUCAGGUAUGAACUGGUCUUAUUGGUUUCUCCCUUCUGACGAACCAUGAUGUCAUUAAUUUGAUGUCGUGGAGAAUCAGGACUGUUACUUUGAAAAAAUUAGAGUGUUUAAAGCAGGCUAACGCUUGAAUACAUUAGCAUGGAAUAAUGAAAUAGGACGUUCGAUCCUAUUUUGUUGGUUUCUAGGAUCGACGUAAUGAUUAAUAGGGAUAGUUGGGGGCAUUAGUAUUCAAUUGUCAGAGGUGAAAUUCUUGGAUUUAUUGAAGACUAACUACUGCGAAAGCAUUCGCCAAGGAUGUUUUCAUUAAUCAAGAACGAAAGUUAGGGGAUCGAAGACGAUCAGAUACCGUCGUAGUCUUAACCAUAAACUAUGCCGACUAGGGAUCGGAUGAUGUUAAUUUUUUAAUGACUCAUUCGGCGCCUUACGGGAAAC
RNAcentral lists this ribosomal RNA (549 nucleotides) under uncultured Glomeromycotina. RNAcentral's name for it is "SSU rRNA". It matches the Rfam family "Eukaryotic small subunit ribosomal RNA", at positions 548 to 1098 of the family's 1831-position model. Lineage: Eukaryota; Fungi; Glomeromycota. The record is from RNAcentral.